This is a long non-coding RNA of Alligator mississippiensis (American alligator), 6441 nucleotides long. RefSeq lists it as uncharacterized. The record is from RefSeq and is a predicted model, not a curated record. The transcript is spliced from 6 exons. Lineage: Eukaryota; Metazoa; Chordata; Crocodylia; Alligatoridae.
CUGGGCUGCAAGGGGUUGCCCACGGGUGUUUGUACGGGGGGGCGGGGGUGUAGAUAUCCACAUAUAUACUUGUACACGUAUACACAUACGUGUGCAUGUCGGUAUACAUACGUGGAAAGAGUGCGUGUGGCAGUGCACAUACACUUCUGCCUGUUUGCGCACACCUGCAUGCACACACACGCAGUAUGCACGUGCACGCACGCUGUACCCUAUAUGCUACAGGUGCACUGCGUGUAUACACCUACACAUGCAGAUGCGUGUGCAUGCAUAUACGUACACACACACGUACAUGCAUGUACGUGGCUGCACGGGCUCACACACCGAGUGAGUGAGUAGGGGCGGGAGUCAGUCUACUAUUUUUCAUAAUGAAAAAAUGACUGAAAUUAGUUUUGAGAAGCAGGUGCCACAAAACUCAGGCAAGUUGCAGAAGGGCGCCUGGAGCCGAAAGAGGCUGAAAAACCCCUGUACUGGGUACAGGAAGCCACGAUGAUCGCUUUCUCUACAGCAUCUUCAAUAGCAACUGGAUAUCUUUUUCAUGCCUGUUAAUGGGGACUGAUUUCAGACAUGCUCCAGUGAAGACAUUAAGUAGGACUGACAUUGUCUCCUUGUUUUAUUCACCGUAGGCCUAAAGGCCUCAAGUUGCAGUUAGUUCGUUACUGAACAAACUGCCAGUUUUCAGGGAGUCUCCAGCACUCGACGCUCCUCACCUCCCUCUCCAGCGCUCGGUGCUGUCUUCCCCGGGCACUGACGUUCCUGGUUAUGCCUCUGGCUUUGCUUACACAAAAAGUUGAACCAGUUUAACUCUGGUUUACUCAAUCUGGUCAAUUUAAGUAGUGCACACCAAUUCACAGGUGGUUUUCUAGGUGUAGCUUGUGUUGAUAACUUUUUAAAACCAAUUUUAAUUAAAUAGGCACAAUAUCUGGCUAGGUGAGGGUUGAAACAUCAUUUCCCACACCCGUUGCAUAGUCAUGCAUGCACAUAGGAAAAGAAAGGAGAAAGUGCUUGAUGAAGUUAUGGAACCACUUUGAUUCCAGUUAAUUUACUACAUAUCUGCUCCCUGACAUAGGAAGUUGCUUGGCUUACCUUUCUAGUAGGAUCUAUUAAUUUAGCAAUAGCAGUUGUAAUUAUGCUUUAAAAAUACUGACAGUAAAAUCUGAUUUCACGUGCUCCUGCAUUUCGGGGGAGGGGAAAAAUCUUGACUAGAAACUCUCACUUCUUGAAUGAAACUUUCCAUGCUUCAGAGCUCUCAAAGCUAAACAGAAUUAUUGAAAAUUAGGGUUGGAAGUCUGUGUGUGCGUAGUUUUCGACAAAUGAGCUGUUAAACUCAGUAAGACUAUUAGCGCAUGAGGCUAAAUGUUUGCAUAAUCAUUUGCAGAAGUGUGGUGUGAAACUAGUUUUACAAAUACACAGCAAAGCUAAGGCACGUCUUACCUUUAAAGCAGCUAAUCAAUCUAGUAUUAUGACUUCGUUUGCUUAGCUAGAGUAAACGAAACAAAGGAAAUGAGACUUAAAAGAUACAGCAUGGGAUAUUGGAGUUUUUACAGGUUAGUUUUAUUCUGGUACUGUUUGUAGGCCACAUUAGCCCACUGAUUGCACUGGUUGUUGUGCAAACACACGUGAGCUUCAUGCUGAUGAAUUACAAUUUUAAGCCUUGGGACCGUUCUCUUUCUCUCUUGGUUGGAGGAUUUGGACCAAAAAGGAAAAACACAUGGAGGGGGGACUUUGGGGAAGUGAUUGAACAGAACAAAAUCUGAAAAACGAUUCUGUGAGAAUAUCUUCUUUUACCACCUGUCAUGAUGUAGAAAUAGGCAAGAGGUCAGUUUGGCUUUUAAAUUCAGGAGCAGUGUGUAGGUCUGGGAUGAAAAAAACCACCCCAUUUCUUCCACCUGUUCCCUUAUAUACUAAGCAAAUUUGAUUUAGAGAAAGAAGGGUUUUCUUUUUACUAAAACUGCACUUAACCUUGACCUGGCAAUCGCAUAGCAUCAUAGCUCUUAACUUAUUUGAAAAUUUGAUUACUGUAACUUAAAAAAAAAUUAAACAUCUAGGAAUUAAGAACUGUAAAGUAAUAGGUAGUGUGUUAUUUUAUCAUCUCAGGUUCAAGCAGGACAGUUUCAGGAAUGUAUGACUUGAGAGAGGCAGCCAGACAGACCAUCCAAAUGCUUCAGUUGGCAGGAUGAAGUGAUAUGCUAAUGUAAGAGAAAAGGUUGAUCCUGAUGGUAAAACAAGCGUACCCGUUAAGAUGACUGCGGGGAAAGUAUCCUGUUUUCAUCUACGCGGCCUGCAAAAUCUUAAAAUCUUGAAGACCUGGACUUCUUCAGCUGUGACAUCACAAACCUGAAGGAUUACAGGGAAAGGAUUUUUGAGCUGCUUCAGGAGAUCACCUACCUGGAUUGAUUUGAUCAGGAAGAAGGGGAUGAGGAGGAUGAAGCAGAUGAAGAUGAAGCUGGUCCACCAGGAGAGUACAAAGAAGAUGAAGAUGGUGGAGGUUCAGAUUUGGGGGAGGGGGAAAAGGAGGAAGAAGCUGGCCUUUCAUACCUGAUGAUGGACAAGAUCCAGGUAGGACUUACCCUAUUCUACUGUAAGGCUCAGGAUUUUCUUGAUACUAUCUAGCUAUAAACGUGUAAUAUUUUAAACGUGUAUAAGCAUAAUCAUGUAAAUCCACUAUCAUAUGUGAGCGAUAGAGUACUUUAGAGAGAGACCUUUUACUAUCAAAGAAGUGCGUUACAGUAGGGGAACCACCGCUCUUUGGUAUUCUCCGUUACCUUGCUCAACAUGAAAUGCUGCAAGAUUCAUUACUUCACGGCCUUGUAGAAUUAGUAUCAUUCUACACCAGAUCACCAAGUCCAAUUUGGAGGAGAACGUGGCCGAAACAAAUCCACCUGCCCUACCAGGAUGCUCACAAGUGCCUGGGGCACUUGAGCCUUGAGAGCCAUGCCCUCACCAUGCAGAUCUGCAGGUUGUCAGGUGUGGGGCUGGGGCUUCCAGGCAUGGGGGAGAGGGUGAGUAUGGAGGAGCUAGGGCCUGAGGGUGCAGGGAGCUGAUCAGGAUGUGAGGGCUGAGGCAAAGGGGAGACAGGCUGGGAAUCCAGGAGUGAGGGCUGGCCACUGAGGAAGAAGUCAGGGAGAGGCUGGAGCUGUGGCCCUGGGAGUGCCGUGGGUUCGGCCAUGCAGGGGAGAGCUGGGGCAGGGAGCGGAGACUUGCCCUGGGUGGGAGCGCAUUGCCCUUGCCCUGGGUAGGAGCACAGGACCUUGAGCUGCUCUUAGUGGAGGGAGGUGGGUGGGGAGUUGGAUCCUGGCAUUUUGGGGAAGGAGAAGGGAUUGGACGCUCCUUUCACCCCACUUAUCUCAGGGCCCUUUUCUUUCCUAGCCAGGGGGGCAGAAAACCCGUGUGAUGUUUGCUGAGCUGACCUGCAGGGAGCCUGAUGGACCCAGGGGAUGGGAACGGGGCUGUGUCGGGUUCGCUGCUCUGGGAAGGAAGCGAGUUAGAGCAGAGCAGGCAUGAGGACCAGGACUUGCAGGUUGUGCCCUGCUCUGGCUCUUCGAAAGGAGUGCUGUCCAGCUUGCCAUAGUGAGGGGCAUGGUUUGGGAGGACUCCUGGGUCCUGUUUCUAGCUGAGGGAAGGAGGGCAGGGGGUGGGAGGAAGGCUCUGUGGCUCAGGACUCCUGGCUUCUUUUUGGGAUCUGUCACUUCCCCAGAAUGAACCCACAAAUGAUCUGUGCAUUGAAUCAAUUGAUCCCUUGGGUGAUGCUGUCAGCACGUACAUGGAGGUGAGUGGAAGCAGCGCGGUGGGAGGUGUCCACUGCCCUGAUCAGAGGAGGCCGGGGUUGGGGGAAUACUGGGCCCAUGGAUCGGAUUGAAGGGUGGAUGGCGAUACUGGGUUGGGGUGGCCUCAUGGGUCCCAUCUGUCAGGCAGAGGAAGGUAGUAAUAGGUGCAUGGGUCAGAUCUAGGCUGGCAUGGGGCUGCAGGGAAGCAGAAGGAUUACUUGGCUGGGGGUGGACCCGUGGGUCCCACGGGAGGGUUUGUAUACUACAAGCAGGGCCCUCCUGCUAGGGUCCCCAUUGGGUCCCAGUCAUGCCCUUCCCUGCCCAGCCCUGUCCUGGCAGUGGCUGAUGGGGAAAACGUGGGGUCUUUCCAUUCUCCUUCAGUAUGGAAAUGACCUCUGCUUUGCCUCCCAGCCCGCUCGUGCUUUGCCUCCUGUCUCUUCACAGCGGUUAUCAAUGUGAGCCAUGAUGCACGACUGAUCACGCAGACCAGCUGCCAGCUCUGGGUGGUGGAGGAGCAGUCCAUCAGCCAGAUCAACGGUGACUUCGACUGCAAGUGGGAGGUGCUGGAGGCCUCGGGCCAGGGUGAGAGUUUUCUGUAGACAAAGCAUUGGACCCCAUGGACGUCCUGAUGAGGAUGGGAAAUCAGAGCAAUGACUACAUAGCUAUCUGGAGCGUCAUCUCGGGUCACGUGUGCUUCCAUCCUGACACUCGGUGAGCAAAUUCUGUCUUCCAGGUUCAGUCGGAGGGAAGGAAAAUCAGUGGAUGAUGGCACUGCAGGGUGCUGGACUCUCAGAUAGUUUCUAAACUAAACAAAAGUUGAAAUACCCCCCGGUGCCCUGGGAAAUACACCUUUGUGAGAUGUUUGUCAUGGGGGACAGUGGGCUUUGGCCAAAUCUGGGGACUUGUUUGGGGGGUCUCUACAAAGGCACGAGAGAGAGGCAGAUAGCGGAGGCAGACACACACUGUGGGUAAAUGUGAUUCCACCUGGCUAGCUGGUGUUUCACAUAACCUACAUCACCGUGCUACAUUCACAACUACAUGGGCUCAUUUUGUGAUGUUUCUAGUAAGUGGGGGAGGUCGAGGCAGCAGCAGCCAGGGAGCAGGGAGCAGAUUUGCAUGAAGGAACAGAUCUUGGUCCGGGAGUCAGAGAGAGACUGGGAGGGUCCCAGCGAGAAACUUCCUUGGCUCAGGAAGCCGACCUAGUCUGGAUUCCCACCAUAACCCCUCUCCUCCUUGUGCUGCUCACGUGCUGCUCGGGUAACUCAUCAAAGGCCGCGUGCUGCAGAUUACUUUUGCAGACCUUCCUGGGAUGAACAGAGAAAUGGGGAGCCCGCUGUACGAGAGGAGAAUAAAGGAACUGCCUUGUCCUACCUUGUGAGAAGCAGACCGAGAACGGAGAUGACUGCUCUCUGCGAUUACAUCCGAGAGAGCCAAGAGCCAUGCAGAAGAAAAGGAGAGUGCCAGCUCCAGAAAAAAUUAUGUCAAAUCAAGGAAAUGGUCAACAGAGAACUGCCACGCUCAUCACAUGUACGCGUGUCUCAGAAGCCAGUAAAGGCAAGAAAGCUACAUAGACGGACAAAAAACUAGAGCUCUUCCUUUCAAAAUGAUAUCUUUCAUUACACCAACUGGAGAAUCACAAGAAAAUUGUCCUUUUCUGCAAGCUUUCAGGAUCAAAGUCCCUUUGUCAAGCUCUGGGAAAAGUAUAGGUGGUACAAGAUGGUAAGGAGUCCCUAUAGGUAGGAAAUCAACUUCAUUUUUGCACGGAGGAAGCUGGAGAUGGAAGACUGUUCCUCUGGGUCCGUGAGAGUGUCUUUGUGAGCUGGGCCAAGUAGCUCUUUGCUGUGUUGGUCAGGUAGGACUCCUUCCCUGGAGGUGUCAGAUGGCAAGCAGGGAAGUAACAAAAACUUCCUUCUUAUUCUGCAAUGAAGUUUAAAACCCCCAAAAGAAAGCUACAUACACAUUUCAAUUGACAUAGCAGCUACAGGGAACAAAAGGCUAAAUACGCAUCUCAACAGAAACUUGUAAAAGAUACAGAAAAAAUGUCCUGUAUGUGACAAACACUUCUCCCAACAAACAUCCUAAGGGGUAGGGCGUUCAAAAUGUCUGAACCAUUCAGUGCAGGUCUGGAGUUUGAAAAACAAACCAUCGCCUGUACACGCUACUGCAAAUGUGCCCAGCUGAUAUACAGAUACCCCAAGACAGGUUUGGUGACACCUCUAAGUAUCCUGUCCAACUGCUCAGGCCCAUCCAAACGCUCAGACCUACAAUUAUAGGGUCUGCAGAGAUGCACAAGUUUUACCCCUAGACAAUGCAAGAACAGGAGCCAGGCAAUUACUAGUUGUGAUAUGAUGAUCAACACCCUUUUCUCCCUGUUUGUCUGGACUCUAAGUGGCCAACUAUCAAGAAAAAAUGCUUUGAAGUUAUACAAUGAAACAAUAUAAGAACUAACAGAAUUUGCCAUCAAAGUGUGCACUCCAGGAGAAGCAGAGAGAGAUCACUGCUACAUCGCAACCAGCUUAACCAGCAACGGAUCCUGCAUGGGGAAAGCUGCAAAACUGGACCAGCUUCCUUCGCCGGCAUUUGUGAGAGAACACUAUUGCUGCUAAAUAUGUACUAGGACUUUGUGCAGUAGCUCCUUUUAUUUUGGAAAGAGUCUUUUUCUGUCAUUUGGUUUGAU